UAAGGAUUCCUUCUACAACAUGGAUAGAAAAUACUAAUCACUUAACACUCAAAUCCCCAUUCCACCUCCAGUAAUGGGUAUCACUGAACACUUUCUCAAACAUGUUCAGUAUGGGCUUUGCAGCCUUGUUUGAUUGAGGCGCAUCAGUUACCAAAAAUGGCUACACACGCACCCUCCUUCUCUAAUACAUACUAAACGGGUUUCGUAGUGU
This 211-nucleotide long non-coding RNA is filed under the name Carica papaya (papaya). Its description in RNAcentral is "long non-coding RNA (CPAP_LNC001206)". The record is from RNAcentral. Lineage: Eukaryota; Viridiplantae; Streptophyta; Magnoliopsida; Brassicales; Caricaceae.